CAAGUCGAGCGGCAGCGCGGGGGCAACCCUGGCGGCGAGCGGCGAACGGGUGAGUAACACAUCGGAACGUGUCCCGUAGUGGGGGAUAGCUCGGCGAAAGCCGGAUUAAUACCGCAUACGAUCCACGGAUGAAAGCGGGGGAUCCGCAAGGACCUCGCGCUAUGGGAGCGGCCGAUGUCCGAUUAGCUUGUUGGUGGGGUAAAGGCCUACCAAGGCGACGAUCGGUAGCUGGUCUGAGAGGAUGAUCAGCCACACUGGGACUGAGACACGGCCCAGACUCCUACGGGAGGCAGCAGUGGGGAAUUUUGGACAAUGGGGGAAACCCUGAUCCAGCCAUGCCGCGUGAGUGAAGAAGGCCUUCGGGUUGUAAAGCUCUUUUGGCCGGAAAGAAAAGGUCGCGGAUAACACCUGCGACUUUUGACGGUACCGGCAGAAUAAGCACCGGCUAACUACGUGCCAGCAGCCGCGGUAAUACGUAGGGUGCGAGCGUUAAUCGGAAUUACUGGGCGUAAAGCGUGCGUAGGCGGUCCCGCAAGUCCGCUGUGAAAGCCCUGGGCUUAACCUAGGAACUGCAGUGGAAACUAUGGGACUUGAAUCUGGCAGAGGGGGGUGGAAUGCCACGUGUAGCAGUGAAAUGCGUAGAUUUGUGGCGGAACACCGAUGGCGAAGGCAGCCCCCUGGGCUGAGAUUGACGCUCAGGCACGAAAGCGUGGGGAGCAAACAGGAUUAAAUACCCUGGUAGUCCACGCCCUAAACGAUGACAACUAGGUUUUGGGGAAGCGAUUUCUCAGUACCGCACCUAACGCGUGAAUUGUCCC
Molecule: ribosomal RNA, 818 nt
Filed under: uncultured beta proteobacterium
Lineage: Bacteria; Pseudomonadati; Pseudomonadota; Betaproteobacteria
Description: bacterial SSU rRNA
Rfam family: Bacterial small subunit ribosomal RNA
Source: RNAcentral